AUUGAACGCUGGCGGCAGGCUUAACACAUGCAAGUCGAGCGAGCGGCGGACGGGUGAGUAGUGUCUGGGAAACUGCCUGAUGGAGGGGGAUAACUACUGGAAACCGUAGCUAAUGCCGCAUACCAUCAGAUGUGCCCAGAGGGGAUUAGCUAGUCGGUGGGGUAAUGGCUCACCGAGGCGACGAGCCCUAGCUGGUCUGAGAGGAUGACCAGCCACACUGGAACUGAGACACGGCCCAGACUCCUACGGGAGGCAGCAGUGGGGAAUAUUGGACAAUGGGCGAAAGCCUGAUGCAGCCAUGCCGCGUGUGUGAAGAAGGCCUUCGGGUUGUAAAGCACUUUCAGCGGGGAGGCGUUACCCGCAGAAGAAGCACCGGCUAACUCCGUGCCAGCAGCCGCGGUAAUUC
Molecule: ribosomal RNA, 406 nt
Filed under: uncultured bacterium
Lineage: Bacteria
Description: partial 16S ribosomal RNA
Rfam family: Bacterial small subunit ribosomal RNA
Source: RNAcentral